Molecule: ribosomal RNA, 251 nt
Filed under: uncultured bacterium
Lineage: Bacteria
Description: partial 16S ribosomal RNA
Rfam family: Bacterial small subunit ribosomal RNA
Source: RNAcentral
GUGGAUUAGUGGCGAACGGGUGAGUAACACGUGAGUAACCUGCCCUUGACUCUGGGAUAAGCGUUGGAAACGACGUCUAAUACCGGAUACGAGCUUCAGCCGCAUGGCUAGGAGUUGGAAAGAAUUUCGGUCAAGGAUGGACUCGCGGCCUAUCAGCUAGUUGGUGAGGUAAUGGCUCACCAAGGCGACGACGGGUAGCCGGCCUGAGAGGGUGACCGGCCACACUGGGACUGAGACACGGCCCAGACUCC